CGGAUUGUAGGCUGAAACUCGCCUACAUGAAGCUGGAGUUACUAGUAAUCGCAGAUCAGAAUGCUGCGGUGAAUGCGUUCCCGGGUCUUGUACACACCGCCGUCACACCACGGAAGUUGGGGCGCCGAAGCCACUUAGCUAACCCAUUUGGGAAGCGAGUGUCGAAGGUGAAAUCAAUAACUGGGGUGAAGUCGUAACAAGGUACC
This 206-nucleotide ribosomal RNA is filed under the name uncultured bacterium. RNAcentral's name for it is "partial 16S ribosomal RNA". It matches the Rfam family "Bacterial small subunit ribosomal RNA", at positions 1294 to 1500 of the family's 1533-position model. The record is from RNAcentral.